Molecule: long non-coding RNA, 398 nt
Filed under: Monodelphis domestica (gray short-tailed opossum)
Lineage: Eukaryota; Metazoa; Chordata; Mammalia; Didelphimorphia; Didelphidae
Description: lncRNA (ENSMODG00000049952.1)
Source: RNAcentral
AUUGUGAAUACAUUACCUUCUACUCCUUUUGUCCCAACUUAGGCUUUUCUCUGGGAAAUUUCUGAAUACGAGUUGACAUAACUGUUAUCUAAGCUUCCACAGAUGUGGGUAAAAGGGUCCCCUAGUUCCUGUACAAGUAUUCCAGGUUCAAGAAGAAUCUCUGAGUUGGUUAGGAGUUGGAAUCCAGGCCAGAUGUUGCUGCCCAACCAGCAUUAAUGGCUCAACUCAAGGAACAAAGAACCAUCUUCACAAGCCUUCAGCCCAGCAAAAGAUUUAUCCAUGCUACAUCUUGAUGUGAAGUUGGUGGGACCAAUGCUUUAUAAAAGGCAAGCUAAGUUUUGAGUCAAUUCUGCUAGAGACAGAGAUGGUGUUAUGAAAUGUAUACCCAGAGUUAUUAG